CGAACGCUGGCGGCGUGCUUAACACAUGCAAGUCGAACGGUGAAGCGCCUUCCUUUUUGGUGGGUGUGGAUGGGUGGCGAACGGGUGAGUAACACGUGAGUAACCUGCCCCCUUCUUCUGGAUAACCGCAUGAAAGUGUGGCUAAUACGGGAUAUUCUGGGUCUGUCGCAUGAUGGGUCUGGGAAAGAUAUUGUUUCGGUGGGGGAUGGGCUCGCGGCCUAUCAGCUUGUUGGUGGGGUGAUGGCCUACCAAGGCGGUGACGGGUAGCCGGCCUGAGAGGGUGGACGGUCACACUGGGACUGAGACACGGCCCAGACUCCUACGGGAGGCAGCAGUGGGGAAUAUUGCACAAUGGGCGCAAGCCUGAUGCAGCGACGCCGCGUGAGGGAUGGAGGCCUGCGGGUUGUGAACCUCUUUCGCCAGUGAAGCAGGCCUGCCUCGUUUGUGGGUGGGUUGACGGUAGCUGGAGAAGAAGCGCCGGCUAACUACGUG
RNAcentral lists this ribosomal RNA (492 nucleotides) under uncultured bacterium. RNAcentral describes it as "partial 16S ribosomal RNA". It matches the Rfam family "Bacterial small subunit ribosomal RNA", at positions 30 to 507 of the family's 1533-position model. The record is from RNAcentral.